AACAAACGCUGGCGGCGUGCCUAACACAUGCAAGUCGAACGAGAAAUCCCGAGCUUGCUUGGGAGAGUAAAGUGGCGCACGGGUGAGUAACGCGUGGGUAACCUACCUUUGAAUCUGGAAUAACCAGCCGAAAGGCUGACUAAUACCGGAUAUGGUUUUUAGGACUUAGGUUCUCUAAAUUAAAGGUGACCUCUUCAUGAAAGUUGCCGUUCAUAGAUGGGCCCGCGUACCAUUAGCUAGUUGGUGGGGUAAUGGCCUACCAAGGCGACGAUGGUUAGCUGGUCUGAGAGGAUGAUCAGCCACACUGGAACUGGAACACGGUCCAGACUCCUACGGGAGGCAGCAGUGAGGAAUUUUGCGCAAUGGGGGAAACCCUGACGCAGCAACGCCGCGUGAGCGAAGAAGGCCCUCGGGUCGUAAAGCUCUGUCAAGUGGGAAAAAAAUCUUUUGAUCAAUAGUCAAAAGACUUGAUGGUACCAC
RNAcentral lists this ribosomal RNA (480 nucleotides) under uncultured Desulfobacterium sp. RNAcentral describes it as "bacterial SSU rRNA". It matches the Rfam family "Bacterial small subunit ribosomal RNA", at positions 29 to 481 of the family's 1533-position model. The record is from RNAcentral. Lineage: Bacteria; Pseudomonadati; Thermodesulfobacteriota; Desulfobacteria; Desulfobacterales; Desulfobacteriaceae.